Molecule: transfer-messenger RNA, 347 nt
Filed under: Oscillospiraceae
Lineage: Bacteria; Bacillati; Bacillota; Clostridia; Eubacteriales
Also listed under: 1 other name
Description: Vescimonas sp017937195 Standard tmRNA
Rfam family: transfer-messenger RNA
About the family: Bacterial tmRNA, also known as 10Sa RNA or SsrA, is named for its dual tRNA and mRNA-like properties. Its role is to liberate the mRNA from a stalled ribosome.
Source: RNAcentral
GGGGGCGUACCGGUUUCGACGGGGGCGCGGAGGCCGGAUAAGCGGGCGGCGGCGCCUGACCGCCAUAAAACGGGCAAUUAAAAAUUAACUAACAACACUAACACUGUUGCUGUCGCUGCCUAAGCAGUGACCGUCUGAACCGGAGUGGCCGCGGGCCGGGGAAGGCGUCGUUAACGCGGCGUCCGUGCGGCGGGUAAGAGUUGCCCCGCCCACGCACUAUGACUCUACUGAAGCGCCAAGUCUGUUAAGUGCCUUAGCGCGGAGGGAAUGAAGAAACUUAACUGCGCCCGGAGAAAGUCUUGUCAAAACGCUUUCGGACAGGGGUUCGACUCCCCUCGCCUCCACCA